GUUAAGAAAACAGUUAUUCACGCAGAAGACAAGAACAAUUGACAAUAUUCCUCCAACACGAGAUGCACUUCUUCAUUGAACAUACGAAACGUGCAGCUUACCAAGGUAGUGUUAUUUGGGGCAAUUGUUUAGUUGCAAAUUCAAGUAUGCCAUCACCAGAUUUAUUUGGUUGGCAAAAACUUGAUGGUACUUGGGUACCAUUCUGGUCUGUGCUUGCUGAA
This 221-nucleotide long non-coding RNA is filed under the name Mytilus galloprovincialis (Mediterranean mussel). Lineage: Eukaryota; Metazoa; Mollusca; Bivalvia; Mytilida; Mytilidae. The record is from RNAcentral.